AUGUCAGAAACAUAACAGAAACUUCGAGUUUGUGUCCCAGGCAACUGAACUGUAAGAGGCUCACCUCUGAGCGCUUGAGCUAUGAAGUUACUGACCACACGUCCAUCGUCAAUGUUCAUGCGUGGUCCGUAAGUAUUGAAGAUUCGGGCAAUUCGAAUCUCUAUGCCAUGCUGCCUAUGAUAAUCGAACAUCAAAGUUUCCGCCACACGCUUGCCUUCA
This 219-nucleotide unclassified non-coding RNA is filed under the name Hevea brasiliensis (rubber tree). Lineage: Eukaryota; Viridiplantae; Streptophyta; Magnoliopsida; Malpighiales; Euphorbiaceae. The record is from RNAcentral.